This 507-nucleotide ribosomal RNA is filed under the name uncultured bacterium. RNAcentral's name for it is "bacterial SSU rRNA". The stretch from base 121 to 507 matches the Rfam family "Bacterial small subunit ribosomal RNA", at positions 1 to 387 of the family's 1533-position model. The record is from RNAcentral.
UUGAAGCGAAGUGCUGAUUGCCGGAGACGGUAAUCGAGUCCUUCGGACUUUAAACACUCACGGAUAGAGAAUGAAGCUAUGUAAAUAGUCUUUGUUCGAUUCCGUUGAGUAAUCAAGAUCGAACUGUAGAGUUUGAUCCUGGCUCAGAUUGAACGCUGGCGGCAUGCCUUACACAUGCAAGUCGAACGGUUAACAGGCCGCAAGGUGCUGACGAGUGGCGAACGGGGUGAGUAAUGUAUCGGAACGUGCCCAGUCGUGGGGGGAUAACUGCUCGAAAGAGCAGCUAAUACCGCAUACGACCUGAGGGUGAAAGCGGGGGGAUCGCAAGACCUCGCGCGAUUGGAGCGGCCGAUAUCAGAUUAGGUAGUUGGUGGGGUAAAAGGCCACCAAGCCAACGAUCUGUAGCUGGUCUGAGAGGACGACCAGCCACACUGGGACUGAGACACGGCCCAGACUCCUACGGGAGGCAGCAGUGGGGAAUUUUGGGACAAUGGACGCAAGUCUGAU